Molecule: non-coding RNA, 156 nt
Filed under: Brevibacillus panacihumi
Lineage: Bacteria; Bacillati; Bacillota; Bacilli; Caryophanales; Paenibacillaceae
Also listed under: 1 other name
Description: FMN sequence
Rfam family: FMN riboswitch aptamer (RFN element)
About the family: The RFN element is a highly conserved domain that is found frequently in the 5'-untranslated regions of prokaryotic mRNAs that encode for flavin mononucleotide (FMN) biosynthesis and transport proteins. This element is a metabolite-dependent riboswitch that directly binds FMN in the absence of proteins.
Source: RNAcentral
ACAUUCCUUCGGGGCAGGGUGAAAUUCCCGACCGGCGGUGACCAUGCCUUAGCGCAUGGCAAGCCCGCGAGCCUCCCGAGCUGUCACAAGCGACGGAGUGCAGGAUCUGGUGAGAAUCCAGAGCCGACAGUACAGUCUGGAUGGGAGAAGGAUGAC